AGUGAACGCUGGCGGUAGGCCUAACACAUGCAAGUCGAACGGCAGCACAGUAAGAGCUUGCUCUUACGGGUGGCGAGUGGCGGACGGGUGAGGAAUACAUCGGAAUCUACUUUUUCGUGGGGGAUAACGUAGGGAAACUUACGCUAAUACCGCAUACGACCUACGGGUGAAAGCAGGGGAUCUUCGGACCUUGCGCGACUGAAUGAGCCGAUGUCGGAUUAGCUAGUUGGCGGGGUAAAGGCCCACCAAGGCGACGAUCCGUAGCUGGUCUGAGAGGAUGAUCAGCCACACUGGAACUGAGACACGGUCCAGACUCCUACGGGAGGCAGCAGUGGGGAAUAUUGGACAAUGGGCGCAAGCCUGAUCCAGCCAUACCGCGUGGGUGAAGAAGGCCUUCGGGUUGUAAAGCACUUUUGUUGGGGAAGAAAAGCAGCAGGUUAAUACCGCGCUGUUCUGACGGUACCCAAAGAAUAAGCACCGGCUAACUUCGUG
RNAcentral lists this ribosomal RNA (492 nucleotides) under uncultured bacterium. RNAcentral's name for it is "partial 16S ribosomal RNA". It matches the Rfam family "Bacterial small subunit ribosomal RNA", at positions 29 to 507 of the family's 1533-position model. The record is from RNAcentral.